GCCAGCAGCAUACCACCCUGCAUCCCACUGCUGGCUUGCCUCUGAAGCUAAGCAGGGUUGGUCCUGGAUGGGAGACCAGAUGCUGCUGGAA
This is a ribosomal RNA of Hucho hucho (huchen), 91 nucleotides long. The record is from Ensembl. NCBI's taxonomy places the organism in Eukaryota, Metazoa, Chordata, Actinopteri, Salmoniformes, Salmonidae.